GAUGAACGCUGGCGGCGUGCCUAAUACAUGCAAGUCGAGCGAACGGACGAGAAGCUUGCUUCUCUGAUGUUAGCGGCGGACGGGUGAGUAACACGUGGAUAACCUACCUAUAAGACUGGGAUAACUUCGGAAAACCGGAGCUAAUGCCGGAUAAUAUUUUGAACCGCAUGGUUCAAAAGUGAAAGACGGUCUUGCUGUCACUUAUAGAUGGAUCCGCGCUGCAUUAGCUAGUUGGUAAGGUAACGGCUUACCAAGGCAACGAUGCAUAGCCGACCUGAGAGGGUGAUCGGCCACACUGGAACUGAGACACGGUCCAGACUCCUACGGGAGGCAGCAGUAGGGAAUCUUCCGCAAUGGGCGAAAGCCUGACGGAGCAACGCCGCGUGAGUGAUGAAGGUCUUCGGAUCGUAAAACUCUGUUAUUAGGGAAGAACAUAUGUGUAAGUAACUGUGCACAUCUUGACGGUACCUAAUCAGAAAGCCACGGCUAACUACGUG
Molecule: ribosomal RNA, 497 nt
Filed under: uncultured bacterium
Lineage: Bacteria
Description: partial 16S ribosomal RNA
Rfam family: Bacterial small subunit ribosomal RNA
Source: RNAcentral